AAAUUUAUGCAAUGAAAUGUGGACUUUGAUCCUAAAUUGUAACCUCCCAUUAUUCCAGUCUAGUUGAAAUUCCUCGGUUUAAAGCUCCAUUUAUUUAAUCAUGAAGUUCUUUUUUCUCUUGCUGCGGCAUAUGGAAAACCUUUAAAAAUGGAUGGCCCUACUUUCUUGCUUACGAGACCUUCUGAGGCUUGUGUUUUAGUAGAAACAGGAGAUCACCUUGCCUUUCUUUGAUGAAAUUUGGAUUGGCUCCGCUCAUAAGGGUUACUGGCAAAAAGUUGAGAUAGAAUGACAUUAACCUUAUUGCACAAAUUGUCACAUGUUUGGACGUUUAUCCGCUAAUUUUUAUCGUCUGUAUCCACAUUUAAAGAAUGGUUCUGAGCAUCGCCACACUGCAAGUGUGCAGCGCAUCGAACACAUUCAUAUUGAGGCUACAAUAAAUCCUCCAAACCUAUAUAUUGAUAAAGAUGCAAAUUUUCUAUCCCCUGUUGUUACACAGUUCCUUAAUGACAAUUUGGUUGCUAGCACUAGCAUUGGACGUUGCACUAAACGCCAUGUUUCUACUGAUGAUAACCCAAUCAUCCCAACCGAUGUUGCUCACUUGCUCUAAAUGAUACAAUUCUAAAUAAAAUGAAUUGCAGGUUAACAGGUAUGCAGCUUAAACUCCCCCCUAAUUUGAGAUAGAAUGACAUUAACCUUAUUGCACACAUUGUCACAUGUUUGGACGUUUAUUCGCUAAUUUUUAUCGUCUAUAUCCACAUUUAAAGAAUGAUUCUGAGCAUCCCCACACUGCAAGUGUGCAGCGCAUCGAGGACAUUCAUAUUGAUGCUACAAUAAAUCCUCCAAACCUAUAUAUUGAUAAAAAUGCAAAUUUUCUAUCCCCUGUUGGUACACAGAUCCUUAAUGACAAUUUGGUUGCUAGCACUAGCGAUGGACGGUGCACUGAACGCCAUGUUUCUAUUGAUGAUAACCCAAUCAUCCCAACCGAUGUUGCUCACUUGCUCUAAAUGAUACAAAUCUAAAUUAAAUGAAUUGCAGGUUAACAGGUAUGCAACUGAACCUCCCAUCUAAAUUGGAUAACCCCAUAUGAAAAUUCACCUCUCAUGCCUCCACUAAAUUAUUGUAUC
Long non-coding RNA from Phalaenopsis equestris, 1124 nucleotides. RefSeq lists it as uncharacterized. The transcript has 2 exons. The record is from RefSeq and is a predicted model, not a curated record. NCBI's taxonomy places the organism in Eukaryota, Viridiplantae, Streptophyta, Magnoliopsida, Asparagales, Orchidaceae.